This 429-nucleotide ribosomal RNA is filed under the name Acidobacteriota bacterium. Its description in RNAcentral is "Acidobacteria bacterium partial 16S ribosomal RNA". It matches the Rfam family "Bacterial small subunit ribosomal RNA", at positions 355 to 776 of the family's 1533-position model. The record is from RNAcentral. Lineage: Bacteria; Pseudomonadati; Acidobacteriota.
UGGGGAAUUUUGGACAAUGGGGGAAACCCUGAUCCAGCCAUCCCGCGUGUGCGAUGAAGGCCUUCGGGUUGUAAAGCACUUUUGGCAGGAAAGAAACGUCAUGGGUUAAUACCCCGUGAAACUGACGGUACCUGCAGAAUAAGCACCGGCUAACUACGUGCCAGCAGCCGCGGUAAUAAGUAGGGUGCAAGCGUUAAUCGGAAUUACUGGGCGUAAAGCGUGCGCAGGCGGUUCGGAAAGAAAGAUGUGAAAUCCCAGAGCUCAACUUUGGAACUGCAUUUUUAACUACCGGGCUAGAGUGUGUCAGAGGGAGGUGGAAUUCCGCGUGUGGCAGUGAAAUGCGUAGAUAUGCGGAGGAACACCGAUGGCGAAGGCAGCCUCCUGGGAUAACACUGACGCUCAUGCACGAAAGCGUGGGGAGCAAACAGG